Molecule: transfer RNA, 71 nt
Filed under: Trachinops taeniatus (eastern hulafish)
Lineage: Eukaryota; Metazoa; Chordata; Actinopteri; Plesiopidae
Description: tRNA-Met
Rfam family: tRNA
About the family: Transfer RNA (tRNA) molecules are approximately 80 nucleotides in length. Their secondary structure includes four short double-helical elements and three loops (D, anti-codon, and T loops).
Source: RNAcentral
AGCAUAGUAAGCUAAGUGUAAGCUCCCGGGCCCAUGCCCCGACAAUGUAGGUUAAAUUCCUUCCUUUGCUA